Molecule: long non-coding RNA, 3608 nt
Filed under: Pelobates cultripes (western spadefoot toad)
Lineage: Eukaryota; Metazoa; Chordata; Amphibia; Anura; Pelobatidae
Source: RNAcentral
CCAACUAUUCCCCAUCUCCCACAAAGGAUGGCCUUUAUAGGAGCUAGUAAGAAUUAACACACUGUUAAUUGUAGCAGAAUACAUAUGUUAUAGUAACAUAUGAAGCAGAGUAUAGUCAUGGGUGACCAGGAAUUGGUUGUCCAGACUUUAAAAAGAGAAAAUAAUGUAAAGGGUCUCAUUGAGUAACCUCUUGUACAGCUACUGUAUUUUCUGUAUAAAGAAUGUGAAAUUAUAAAUAUAGGGAUUUGUUUGUUCUUCAUGAUGAUUUUGUUAAAUGAUUUUCUGUAAAAGGCAUUGCUCUAAAGAAUGAAUGUGAGGUGUCAAUACUGAGAUACCUUCCAUUGGUAAACUGAAUGCUUAUUUAUUAGCAAUCAAUAUUGACCAUCCCAUAUUCUGGUGCUUUUCUUUACAUAUAAAAAAAACACAGCAUUUUUGUGUACUUGAUUGGAUUUGUGUGCCUAGUAUGUAAAAUCUACUAACCUAAACGUUACAUCAGAGCCUUUAUUGAAGCAUUUUCUAGGAUGAGGUAUGCUGCAGAUGGAAGUAUAAACCACCAUUAUGUAUGCAGAUCUGGCUAUUAUUACCAUAAAGCCAUGCUCGGCAUUGGCUUCAUCCCUGUGAUACCGUACAUGCAUAUUAAUGGCAUCAGGGGAUAGCGGUGAUUUUCCUUGCAUGUCGGGUAUUGGAUAUAAAUGAAAAUGAAAUCAUAAUUGAAUUUACAAAAAAUUUCAUGCAACAAUUAUUUAAACUGUGUUGACAUAUUUACAAUAUUUAGGCAAAAAGAAUCAAGGAGGUAAACAACUAAAAAUCAGCUGAUUUUGGAGGAAUUUCCAAAUUCUUACUGGUUACUGAACAACUUGGAAUUUUUUUUAAAGUUUUAGUGUUGUGGAAGUGCAUUCUAGUGCCUGUGCACCAUAACCUCUACAGUUCAGUUUAUUUAUGUUGUCAAUAGCCUCUGAGUGCCAUCCCCUGGAUUUCUGCCAAAUUCUUUAGAAAUGGAUCACUACCCAGCAGCUAGAGUCACACCUGCUCAGCUGUACGGAUAAUGCAACAUUGACACUACAUCAUUGCAGCUAAAGUAGGGGUGUCUCUUGGUGCUAGUGAGAGCCCUGCUUUUUCCCCCAAACAGUUUAGGAGGGGGAUUGUGCACAGAAACUAUUGUUAAGACAACCACUACUUAGACUGCCUUUUUUUUAUUAUGUAGUAGGCCAAGAAUAACUCUGGGAGGUUACACUUGCUAAUGUAAAAUAUAAAAUGAGCACUUAACUAGAUCCUUAGGUUUGAUUUUUCUGAUAUUCUUUUUACUUUGCAGCAUGUAUCUCUCUGCACAAAGAAUCACAUUACAUGUGAUGUCAUUUACUAGGAGAGUGGAAAGUUCAGUCAUUUUAGGGGUUAUAUAAAGACAUUGCUACCCCCCAGCCCUUUGUAGUACAGUUGUAUGGUGCAUAUAGGGUCUAUGAUGAUUGUGGCCAACACAAUGAAGACAAGGGGUUAUAAAUAUGAAGUCUCCAUGGUAACCAAUAAUUUAUUCCUGGUGAUUGCUUCAUUUUUAGAAUUGUACACCAGAAUUAAGUUUUACAUAAGCACAAUGUUAUAUUUAUUAUGUAUUGCAUAUAUUUAGAAAGGCAAAGUAAUCUGAUCCAAAGCGUUAGUCAUGAUCAUGUCUUUUGUCCUCUACUUCACAAGACCAUCACACAUUUAAUUAGGAAAUGUUUACUGAUGAAUAAGAUAAUGCUACAUGAUUGUAGUCCGUUACCUUAAUGUAAUAUAUAUGCUGUAUGCGAUCACCGUUUUAAAUGUUCAUAAUCUACACGAGAUCUAACCCCAUACCUCCAUUUUAUAAACCAUUGGAUUGUUUAUUUCUUAUCAUUUUUGCAAACAAGAAAUUGUAUUUCUAAAGAUUUAGUGAUACUUUCAAAACUAACCGAAAAUCUUUCUAUAGUGUACUUAAGAAUCUUUUUAAUGUAGUCUCAAUGUUUUUCCUCAUUCUUUGCAUACAGCCAGGUCCAGUACUGUACUUUUUAAUCCAUAAUGUAGCAUAGUUAACAAAGUUGUUUGCUUUUCACACACACACACACACACAUAUAUAUAUAUAUAUAUAUAUAUAUAUAUAUAUAUAUAUAUAUAUAUAUAUAUAUAUAUAUACAAAAAAAGAAAAGUCAUUAUGAUUUUGCUUUCCAGUUUUUACUUAACAAUUGCCUAUGUACAGACAUGAAGAGGGCUACUUGUAUUUUGGGAUUUAUUCCAUCUUUAGCUUGCUUAAUAUGUGAGAGACAAUUUUGAAAAGUGGUGCACCUUGAUUUAUUGUGGUAUAAAUUUACCAACAAAAAGCAUUCUUAAAUGGGACUUUUCCUACUCAGAAUAAACAUCUGGAGAUGAAGCAGUUUUAUGUUAAUCUGUCACCUUUGGCCCUUCAAUGUUCUGUCUAAAACUUGUAUGCAGUUGUCACUUGUGUUUGCUUCUGACAUCAUCGUGAUUCACACUAAAUCCACAUUGAUUAUAUUGUGAUUUAAGACAAUAGCAGACAUAUAGGUCAAAAAUACUGGCUAAGCCUUUCUUUAUGGAGUUAUAUGAUAUGCAUUUUCAGGAUAUUGGUGUUAAUGAUUUCAAGUAAGUGGCAACUGCCAAAUUUGUAAAACAGCAACUUUCUAAAAAGGACUGGGAAAAAUAGCAAAUUUGUGAUUACUUUUUGUCCAUGUGAUGGAAAAAAAAAUGAUUAGUCUCCGUAUCAACUGGUAUUAACUUCCUUUAUUGAGGUCUGAUGUGCAGAUCUUACAGUUUUGACACUUAAAGAUUUAAUAUCACUCCUCAUUUUCUCAAUGAUUCAAUACUAACACACACAAACUAAAACUUGUUUCAAUGAUGUAAGCUUAGAUUUUUUUUUCUUUUUGUUUCACAUAGUGUGUGUUCUCUUCACUGCUCAGAGCAAGUAAACUCAGUGUUAACAAACAUACAACUAGCAAUGCUGCUAUGGUAGACUUGCAUAUAUUAUUUAAAAUGAGCAUAAUCUUUAUAUGGAUUGAAAUUCAUUUUAGCAAAGCAUUUGUGUUAUAGGUAAGGGACUAGCAUAUGUUUCUUACGUAGUAGUGGGAUAUGAGUGUUUUUGCCUCGCUUGUCUAAAUGAAUUUUGUGCACAGACUUAUGCCAAAUGGUUGUAAUUGGCUUUAUUAUCCCCCUCCUUCAUUGCAUGUCUUUCAUUGUUUUCAUUUGUCACCAUUUUUCUAAACAAACUAUAAGGCCUUUGCAUACAAGUAGCUCGAAGGGGCUUUUUAUUUUUUUGGUUGUUCCCUACGUGUCUGUAUGUGAUGCCCAUCUAUGUCUGUUUUAAUUUUUUUUCUUCUGUUUUUCUGCAAUAUUGUUUCUAAGAUGAGCUUGUACAAAUUCCCAGUGUUAUUCAUUUUCCUUUUAUAGUAUGAAAAAACUAUUUAACACUUAAUGAUUGCUUUUAAUAUAAUUUUUCACAUCGAGCAUAUGGUACAGUGUGAUCAGUGUGCAGAAUGCCAAAACUGCUGCUGCUUUGCAAUUGUACAUAAUUCCCUUUUAUUGGUGGAUAAGACCUUGAGGCAAUCUUGUGUGUGUGUGUGUGUGUGUGUGUGUGUGUGUGUGUG